Lactuca sativa (garden lettuce) is the source of this 744-nucleotide long non-coding RNA. RefSeq lists it as uncharacterized. NCBI's taxonomy places the organism in Eukaryota, Viridiplantae, Streptophyta, Magnoliopsida, Asterales, Asteraceae. The record is from RefSeq and is a predicted model, not a curated record.
GUCACUACUGGAAAACAGGCUAUACAAUACACCCAUAUCUAAUACGGUUGUAAAUAAAAACCGUAUUAGAAAGGGCUAAAUAAAUAUAAUACGCCCAAUUACAACAUCUAAUACGGUUAAUGAGUUGUACUAGAAACAAGAUCAAAUACCUAAAUAAAAUACGCCCCAUUUUGAAAUAAAGUACGACUCAAUACCUAAAUUGAAUACGCUGAACAAGUACUCAGCUUCCUCCUCACACACUUCUCCUCCCAACCGAACACCUUAACACCACCCUUCCUCCAUCUCUACACCGCUAAUCGGCCCUUCAUCUCUAUCUCCCCUGUGGCAACACCAUCAUCACCGGCCAGCCUGGCCUCGCACCUCCAAUAAUUUAACCAACCCACCAUCAAACCAUCAUCAUCAUACGACAAGAGCUUUGAUUUCUGUUUUUGCAACAGACAAACACAUACAGAAAUACAAAGGAACUACAACUGUUUCACGAUGGAUAAGGGAGCGUUUGUGAUCGAGAUGCAAAAUCAAAUGGUACAUCAAAGAAGGAUUAAUAGAGAAUUAAAAAGGACAAUAUGGUCAUUUUGGCAUAUCUUCCUUUGAGGAUUCCGGAUCAACAGUCUCAAAAAAUUCUUAUAGUAAUUUUGAUAGAAUUUUGAGUCAUGGAGUAGUUCAACAUCACCAUUUGUUACUUAAUCAGGGGUAAAUAUGUCAUUACAUACCAGAUCUUUCAUACAAAUAAAUGUUGUUUGGAUA